RNAcentral lists this long non-coding RNA (209 nucleotides) under Elaeis guineensis (African oil palm). RNAcentral describes it as "long non-coding RNA (EGUI_LNC013124)". The record is from RNAcentral. Lineage: Eukaryota; Viridiplantae; Streptophyta; Magnoliopsida; Arecales; Arecaceae.
CAUUUGGUUUGCUAAACAAUUUUAUCCCACUAUAAAAAUAUUUUUUUUGAAAAACUGAUAUCUGAAUAUAUGAUACUUGAUAAAAUAAUUUUUAUAUAUUUGAUUGACUAUGAGAAGAUAACAUAAGGAACAUACUAUCCGAAAUAACUUAUAUUUGAUUGAGCAUCUACUUUUCUAGCAAAGAUGUAUAAUAUACCUAUUAUGCCCCU